CCUACGGGGGGCUGCAGUGGGGAAUAUUGGACAAUGGGGGGAACCCUGAUCCAGCCAUGCCGCGUGUGUGAAGAAGGCCCUCGGGUUGUAAAGCACUUUCAGUGAGGAAGAACGCCUGGUGGUUAAUACCCAUCAGGAAAGACAUCACUCACAGAAGAAGCACCGGCUAACUCCGUGCCAGCAGCCGCGGUAAUACGGAGGGUGCGAGCGUUAAUCGGAAUUACUGGGCGUAAAGCGCGCGUAGGUGGCUUGAUAAGCCGGUUGUGAAAGCCCCGGGCUCAGCCUGGGAACGGCAUCCGGAACUGUCAAGCUAGAGUGCAGGAGAGGAAGGUAGAAUUCCCGGUGUAGCGGUGAAAUGCGUAGAGAUCGGGAGGAAUACCAGUGGCGAAGGCGGCCUUCUGGACUGACACUGACACUGAGGUGCGAAAGCGUGGGUAGCAAACAGGAUUAGAUACCCCGGUAGUC
RNAcentral lists this ribosomal RNA (465 nucleotides) under Vreelandella stevensii. Its description in RNAcentral is "partial 16S ribosomal RNA". It matches the Rfam family "Bacterial small subunit ribosomal RNA", at positions 338 to 795 of the family's 1533-position model. The record is from RNAcentral. Lineage: Bacteria; Pseudomonadati; Pseudomonadota; Gammaproteobacteria; Oceanospirillales; Halomonadaceae.